UUGUGAGGCCUCCCCAGCCAUGUGGAACUUAACAAAAUGGUUGCUGCAGCAACAUCCAUCACAUCUUCUUCCAUCCAGCAUGAAGGAAGAAAGCCCAAAGAAGAGGUUGGACCCUUCUAUUAAGGAAACUUCCUAAAAGGAAGGACUGUGCCGGUGAAAAAGGGAAAAAUGCUGGUCCUGGAAGGGACAUCGUUAUUGAGAAGUUCCCAACCUAAAUGGAUGACUCAUAGGGAGGCCCAGGAGAGAAGGGCACAUCAAGCGAUCUUGUAUGUUCAUGCCAGUUAGAACGGCGAUCAUUAAAAAAUCUGGAGACAACAGU
This is a non-coding RNA of Saimiri boliviensis boliviensis (Bolivian squirrel monkey), 319 nucleotides long. The record is from RefSeq and is a predicted model, not a curated record. Lineage: Eukaryota; Metazoa; Chordata; Mammalia; Primates; Cebidae.